This 143-nucleotide small RNA is filed under the name Arabidopsis thaliana (thale cress). RNAcentral describes it as "ATSL208120". Lineage: Eukaryota; Viridiplantae; Streptophyta; Magnoliopsida; Brassicales; Brassicaceae. The record is from RNAcentral.
AAUAUUAUUGUUAUGCAAAAAAUAACUUACAGCUUGAAUUUUAUUUGCAGGUAGAGAAGGACAGAGUUAAUAAGUCAAAAAUGGAUUAAGUUCAUUAGACUGACUUAUUUCAAACAUGUUUAUUUUACUUUUGUUAUUUUGAA